AACGGCCGCGGUAUCCUAACCGUGCGAAGGUAGCGUAAUCACUUGUUCUUUAAAUGCGGACUAGUAUGAAUGGCACUACGAGGGUUAUACUGUCUCCUUUUUCUAAUCAGUGAAACUAAUUUUCCCGUGAAGAAGCGGGGAUACAACUAUAAGACGAGAAGACCCUAUGGAGCUUUAAACAAUCCAGCAGUUACUUCUAAAAUUAUUAAUUUCAGAAUAUUCAUUUUUUUAAGUAAUGUGUCUGCAAGUUUUUGGUUGGGGUGACCAUGGAGAAUAACAUAACCUCCAUAUUGAAUGAACUCCCUUCUAAGCUGAAAAUUACCAAUUGAAGCAUCAACAUACUGACAUCUAUUGACCCAAUAUAUUUGAUCAACGAACCAAGUUACCCUAGGGAUAACAGCGCAAUCCACUUCAAGAGCCCCUAUCGACAAGUGGGUUUACGACCUCGAUGUUGGAUCAGGGUAUCCCAGUGGCGCAGCCGCUACUAAAGGUUCGUUUGUUCAACGAUUAAAACCCU
Molecule: ribosomal RNA, 517 nt
Filed under: Rhinella cf. margaritifera VG-2014
Lineage: Eukaryota; Metazoa; Chordata; Amphibia; Anura; Bufonidae
Description: partial large subunit ribosomal RNA
Rfam family: Bacterial large subunit ribosomal RNA
Source: RNAcentral